UACGGGGGGGGCAAGCGUUGUUCGGAAUUACUGGGCGUAAAGGGCGCGUAGGCGGCCGCCUAAGUCAGACGUGAAAUCCCUCGGCUCAACCGGGGAACUGCGUCUGAUACUGGGUGGCUUGAAUCCGGGAGAGGGAUGCGGAAUUCCAGGUGUAGCGGUGAAAUGCGUAGAUAUCUGGAGGAACACCGGUGGCGAAGGCGGCAUCCUGGACCGGCAUUGACGCUGAGGCGCGAAAGCCAGGGGAGCAAACGGG
This 253-nucleotide ribosomal RNA is filed under the name uncultured bacterium. RNAcentral's name for it is "partial 16S ribosomal RNA". It matches the Rfam family "Bacterial small subunit ribosomal RNA", at positions 524 to 776 of the family's 1533-position model. The record is from RNAcentral.